AUUCAAAUAUCAUUUUCUAUGUAUACCUGAUAUGAAAAAUAUUGGAAAGCACUGUACUAGAGCACUUGGAUUUAACUUUGAUAUCGUAUUAAAAUCCAAUUUAGAGAUAUUCUACAUUCUUACCAUAUUAUCAUCAUUUUACCAGCAUAUUAUCAUAUUAUCUAUUGCAUUAUUAUUUAUUAUGAAAUACUAUUUUUUAAUAGUAUGUCCAAGUUUUAUUAUAAAAAUUAUUGCUGUCAUUAACUAAAUCUCACAAGGGAGAUCACAAGGUCUAAGUUGAGGAUUUGAGUCAAACUUGGCCAAUGAUUAAAGACAGGCAAAUUCUUGAAAAUAUUGCAAGAAGUUUUGUUGUUGUUCAUAUAAGCCCAAAUGUUAUGUCAUGUAUUAAUUAUAUAGGUACUCCUCACUUAACAGCCAAGUUCCAUUCUCAUGACUUGGUCAUAAAAGGAAUUGGUUGGUAAGUGAGUAAUUUGUUUGUUUGCUUGUCUGUGUAUAUU
Molecule: long non-coding RNA, 497 nt
Filed under: Androctonus crassicauda
Lineage: Eukaryota; Metazoa; Arthropoda; Arachnida; Scorpiones; Buthidae
Source: RNAcentral